This 525-nucleotide ribosomal RNA is filed under the name Cryptosporidium parvum. RNAcentral describes it as "SSU rRNA". It matches the Rfam family "Eukaryotic small subunit ribosomal RNA", at positions 320 to 876 of the family's 1831-position model. Lineage: Eukaryota; Apicomplexa; Conoidasida; Eucoccidiorida; Cryptosporidiidae. The record is from RNAcentral.
CUUAGACGGUAGGGUAUUGGCCUACCGUGGCGAUGACGGGUAACGGGGAAUUAGGGUUCGAUUCCGGAGAGGGAGCCUGAGAAACGGCUACCACAUCUAAGGAAGGCAGCAGGCGCGCAAAUUACCCAAUCCUAAUACAGGGAGGUAGUGACAAGAAAUAACAAUACAGGACUUUUUGGUUUUGUAAUUGGAAUGAGUUAAGUAUAAACCCCUUUACAAGUAUCAAUUGGAGGGCAAGUCUGGUGCCAGCAGCCGCGGUAAUUCCAGCUCCAAUAGCGUAUAUUAAAGUUGUUGCAGUUAAAAAGCUCGUAGUUGGAUUUCUGUUAAUAAUUUGUAUAAAAUAUUUUGAAUAUUUAUAUAACAUUAACAUAAUUCAUAUUACUAUAUUUUUUAGUAUAUGAAAUUUUACUUUGAGAAAAUUAGAGUGCUUAAAGCAGGCAUAUGCCUUGAAUACUCCAGCAUGGAAUAAUAUUAAAGAUUUUUAUCUUUUUUAUUGGUUCUAAGAUAAGAAUAAUGAUUAAUAGG